Molecule: ribosomal RNA, 797 nt
Filed under: uncultured bacterium
Lineage: Bacteria
Description: 16S ribosomal RNA
Rfam family: Bacterial small subunit ribosomal RNA
Source: RNAcentral
AGGGUUCGAUUCUGGCUCAGAGUGAACGCUGGCGGCGUGCUUAACACAUGCAAGUCGAACGAGAACGGGCUAUAGCUUGCUAUAGUUGUCAGCUAAGUGGCGCACGGGUGAGUAACGUAUAGGUAAUAUGCCUCUUACUAAGGGGUAACAAUUGGAAACGAUUGCUAAUACCUUAUACUCCUUAUUAACCUAAGUUAAUAAGGGAAAGAUUUAUUGGUAAGAGAUUAGCCUGUAUUGUAUCAGUUAGUUGGUGGGGUAAUGGCCUACCAAGACUAUGACACAUAACUUGCAGAAACUUAUAUACAGGUGCUGCACGGCUGUCGUCAGCUCGUGUCGUGAGAUGUUGGGUUAAGUCCCGCAACGAGCGCAACCCCCGUGUUUAGUUGCUAACAGUUCGGCUGAGAACUCUAAACAGACUGCCUACGCAAGUAGGAGGAAGGUGAGGACGACGUCAAGUCAUCAUGGCCCUUACGUCCAGGGCUACACACGUGCUACAAUGGGAUAUACAAAGAGCCGCAAUACGGUGACGUGGAGCAAAUCUUAUAAAAUAUCUCCCAGUUCGGAUUGUAGUCUGCAACUCGACUACAUGAAGUUGGAAUCGCUAGUAAUCGUAGAUCAGCUAUGCUACGGUGAAUACGUUCCCGGGUCUUGUACUCACCGCCCGUCACACCAUGGGAGUCGAACUCAUUCGAAGCGGGGAUGCUAAAAUAGCUACCUUCCACAGUGGAUUUGGCGACUGGGGUGAAGUCGUAACAAGGUAACCGUAGGAGAACCUGCGGUUGGAUCACCUCCUUUCU